UCCCUGGUGGCUCAGUGGUAAAGAAUCUGCCUGAAAUGCAGGAGAUGUGGGUUUGACUCCUGUGUUGGGAU
Molecule: transfer RNA, 71 nt
Filed under: Capra hircus (goat)
Lineage: Eukaryota; Metazoa; Chordata; Mammalia; Artiodactyla; Bovidae
Also listed under: 1 other name
Rfam family: tRNA
About the family: Transfer RNA (tRNA) molecules are approximately 80 nucleotides in length. Their secondary structure includes four short double-helical elements and three loops (D, anti-codon, and T loops). Further hydrogen bonds mediate the characteristic L-shaped molecular structure. tRNAs have two regions of fundamental functional importance: the anti-codon, which is responsible for specific mRNA codon recognition, and the 3' end, to which the tRNAs corresponding amino acid is attached (by aminoacyl-tRNA synthetases). tRNAs cope with the degeneracy of the genetic code in two manners: having more than one tRNA (with a specific anti-codon) for a particular amino acid; and 'wobble' base-pairing, i.e. permitting non-standard base-pairing at the 3rd anti-codon position.
Source: Rfam by way of RNAcentral